GAUGAACGCUAGCUACAGGCUUAACACAUGCAAGUCGAGGGGAAACGGCAUUUAGUGCUUGCACUGAAUGGACGUCGACCGGCGCACGGGUGAGUAACGCGUAUCCAACCUUCCCAUUACUGUGGGAUAACCUGCCGAAAGGCAGACUAAUACCGCAUAGUCUUCGAUGACGGCAGCAGAUUUGAAGUAAAGAUUUAUCGGUAAUGGAUGGGGAUGCGUCUGAUUAGCUUGUUGGCGGGGUAACGGCCCACCAAGGCAACGAUCAGUAGGGGUUCUGAGAGGAAGGUCCCCCACAUUGGAACUGAGACACGGUCCAAACUCCUACGGGAGGCAGCAGUGAGGAAUAUUGGUCAAUGGACGAGAGUCUGAACCAGCCAAGUAGCGUGCAGGAUGACGGCCCUAUGGGUUGUAAACUGCUUUUGUAUGGGGAUAAAGUCAAUCACGUGUGAUUGUUUGCAGGUACCAUACGAAUAAGGACCGGCUAAUUCCGUGCCAGCAGCCGCGGUAAUACGGAAGGUCCGGGCGUUAUCCGGAUUUAUUGGGUUUAAAGGGAGCGUAGGCCGGAGAUUAAGUGUGUUGUGAAAUGUAGACGCUCAACGUCUGACUUGCAGCGCAUACUGGUUUCCUUGAGUACGCACAACGUUGGCGGAAUUCGUCGUGUAGCGGUGAAAUGCUUAGAUAUGACGAAGAACUCCGAUUGCGAAGGCAGCUGACGGGAGCGCAACUGACGCUUAAGCUCGAAGGUGCGGGUAUCGAACAGG
This 761-nucleotide ribosomal RNA is filed under the name Prevotella melaninogenica. RNAcentral describes it as "bacterial SSU rRNA". It matches the Rfam family "Bacterial small subunit ribosomal RNA", at positions 28 to 776 of the family's 1533-position model. The record is from RNAcentral. Lineage: Bacteria; Pseudomonadati; Bacteroidota; Bacteroidia; Bacteroidales; Prevotellaceae.